CGCUUCAGCUUGCUGAAGCAAGUAAAGUGGCGCACGGGUGAGUAACGCGUGGGUAAUCUACCCUUGAAUUGGGGAUAACCCGCCGAAAGGCGGGCUAAUACCGAAUGACAUCUUGAAAACGUAUGUUUUCAGGAUCAAAGAUGGCCUCUACAUGUAAGCUAUUGUUUGAGGAUGAGCCCGCGUACCAUUAGCUUGUUGGUAGGGUAAUGGCCUACCAAGGCUACGAUGGUUAGCUGGUCUGAGAGGAUGAUCAGCCACACUGGAACUGACACACGGUCCAGACUCCUACGGGAGGCAGCAGUGAGGAAUUUUGCGCAAUGGGGGAAACCCUGACGCAGCAACGCCGCGUGAGUGAUGAAGGCUUUCGGGUCGUAAAGCUCUGUCAAGUGGGAAGAAAUCAUAUAGAAUUAAUACUGCUAUAUAUUGACGGUACCACUGAAGGAAGCACCGGCUAACUCCGUGCCAGCAGCCGCGGUAAUACGGGGGGUGCGAGCGUUAUUCGGAAUUACUGGGCGUAAAGAGCGCGUAGGCGGUCUUUUAAGUCAGGUGUGAAAGCCCGGGGCUCAACCCCGGAAGUGCACUUGAAACUAAGAGACUUGAGUAUGGGAGAGGGAAGUGGAAUUCCUGGUGUAGCGGUGAAAUGCGUAGAUAUCAGGAGGAACAUCGGUGGCGAAGGCGACUUCCUGGACCAAUACUGACGCUGAGGCGCGAAGGCGUGGGGAGCAAACAGGAUUAGAUACCCUGGUAGUCCACGCAGUAAACGGUGAACACUAGGUGUAGCGGGUAUUGACCCCUGCUGUGCCGCAGCAAACGCA
This 815-nucleotide ribosomal RNA is filed under the name bacterium SCGC AAA074-D08. RNAcentral's name for it is "bacterial SSU rRNA". It matches the Rfam family "Bacterial small subunit ribosomal RNA", at positions 71 to 859 of the family's 1533-position model. The record is from RNAcentral.